UACGAAGGGGGCUAGCGUUGCUCGGAAUCACGGGGCGUAAAGCGCACGUAGGCGGGUCCUUAAGUCAGGGGUGAAAUCCCGGAGCUCAACUCCGGAACUGCCUUUGAUACUGGGGAUCUUGAGUCCGGAAGAGGUGAGUGGAACUCCGAGUGUAGAGGUGAAAUUCGUAGAUAUUCGGAAGAACACCAGUGGCGAAGGCGGCUCACUGGUCCGGUACUGACGCUGAGGUGCGAAAGCGUGGGGAGCAAACAGG
RNAcentral lists this ribosomal RNA (253 nucleotides) under uncultured bacterium. RNAcentral's name for it is "partial 16S ribosomal RNA". It matches the Rfam family "Bacterial small subunit ribosomal RNA", at positions 524 to 776 of the family's 1533-position model. The record is from RNAcentral.